AUAUGUACAAAUCAAACACUUUGGAAAACUAUUCAUUUUUUUAUAUAAUUGCAAAACAAUUGGAUUUCAUUAAAUCGAUCACAAUAUUUUAAAUUGUAUAAUUGCCCAAAGCAUUGUUAUCAGAAUCGUAUGUAUAUUGCGAAAGCGUUUACCGGUUAAGGUGACUUUUUAAUACCCGUUUAUAAUUUACAUUCGAAUCGGUAAACAUUGAUAAUUAUCAUUGAAAUAGUAUUGCAGUUGACUGUCUAGUAGAUAAAGUGAAACUGAAUUAUUCAUCGUAUAUUCUCAAAAGUGGAUAUCCAAUAAAUCUAUGUCUGAUUUGUUUUGCCAUUGAAAAGGAAACUAGUUAAAUAAAGCUGCGUUAAAUAAAACUAUAUUAAAUAAAAGGAGACUAGGUAAACGUUGUCGAAUAUGUGACAACGGUUUUUGUAUACUCGGUAUACAUAAAGCAUAAUGACUGAAAUACGUUUAAUCAAGUCUCUCAAAUUACUUGAACAUUUAACGAUGUCUAAUGGUCGCGAAGAAUGUUACGCGUCAAGACUCACCUUUUGUAUUUACAAGGAUCUCCAGUGAUCGCGACAAACGUGCUGUGUUCGUCGCCGGGAAUCUCGUAGCCGCUUUUGUUGAAAUUAUAAAAUAUCGGAGAGAAAUUGUACUCGGUUGUGGAAUGGAUUACACCGCAGGCCGCGGUAUUGGUUCCAUUUUUUAUGAAAACUUCGCCAUCCGGACAGCACUUUGAAACCAAUGUUGUCAGUUUCAUUCAUGAAUUGUGUACGAGUACACGCAAUAUAUUACAAUCUAUGAGUAUUGAAAAAGAUACAAGACGAAGAAUCAUUCCAAGAAAAUCAAUUCACGAGAAAUAGAUAAUAUUUAUCAAGUGAACAGAACUUAUAAGUUCCGGAAUUUUUCAAUGAAUUAAAUAAAUACUGUGAAUUGCGACGGUCUCCGUACGACGAUUUCCUACACAACGUAAUUAAUUUUUCAUGUUUAUGCACACUAUAUUAAUCUUGACAUUGAAUUAUCUAUUCAAGUGUACGUAGAUACUUGAAUGUUAACCAAUCUGCAUGAUUUUUCAUAAAGAAAAAUUUCGUAUAUUUUGACGUAAUUACCCAUUGCACGUUGACUUGCAUGCUAAAGAGAAUAGAAACCAGAAUCUUGCGAGUAUCGCAUAGCGCUUUCAGUAAAGUAUUUACCAAAUUUUCGACUGAAGUAAGUAAUCACGAAAAUACAUACGAUGCCGUAAAACGUGUGUCAUUUAGCAUGAAUAUUCAUUGAAGUCAUUAUAAUUUUCUUGGAAACAUCUUCUUUUCAUUUAAUAAAUAUAAUGUGUCAGCUCGAGACGAA
This is a non-coding RNA of Megalopta genalis, 1344 nucleotides long. Lineage: Eukaryota; Metazoa; Arthropoda; Insecta; Hymenoptera; Halictidae. The record is from RefSeq and is a predicted model, not a curated record.